GAGCCUGCAGCGUGCCUGGAAGGGUAGGAUGGAGGGGAGGGGGGUCCCUUCUGGUUCCUCCAGGAAGUCAUAUGCUGAUGGUGUUGCCUUGGCAACUCUUCAGGACAAAUUUCCCAUCGAGCCCUGCAGCUCUCAGGCUCCACCAGGCAGACCGACGGCAGGGAGGGGGUGUCCAGUUCAGAAAAUCACGCUGUCAGCAGCCUUGUCAUCAAACAACAAGGCCACGCAUAGCUACAGUAGGAUGUGAGAGCCUCGGGACCUGGAGAAGAUGGCAGCAGGAAAGGCAGCAGGCAGCCGUUGGCCCCCAAAUGCCCUCGAACCAAGAAUGGUGGGGCCCCAGAGGCAAAUAAUGGGGGAGACAGAUGGCAAUCAUUUCCAGAUAGUGAAAGCCCGCAGAAGAUCAAGGAUAAAGCAGGAAGCCGGCCAAGCCCAUGAGGAUGAAGCAACUGAGCUAACAAUUGCACCAACAGGCAGGUGGAGCUAGGACACCACCUCCAGAAGCAAGGCCACACUGAAGCCUGUGUCCCGCUUCCUCCAGCACCCGACUCCGAACAAGCUUGUGUUGCAGCAAGAAAGCUCUAGGUUAGCACUGCGGGGAACUGGGCGAGUCACCAAAUCCGGUCCCCUGGCUCCAACCAUCCAAGGUAAAGAACAGUCCCUCCUCUUCUAAAAGCUUUCCGAUGACCCAGAAAGUCCACAUCAAGCCUGAGCCCUGAUCAACAGGAAGUUCUCCACCGGGGCUAACUAAAAUCCCUCCUGUUGUAAUUUAAGAUGCAACGGUGCUCCACCCAGUCUCCGGGGAGAUGGAGAGCGGCUAGCUGGCGGCCUCCUCAUACUAACCCCCUAUGUUUGCAAUGUCUGGAUUGUCUAUCGUGUCGCCGGCAGAGGCUCCUUCGGGCGGACAGUCGCAGAGAGGACAGGAGAGGCGUCACCUGCUCUCCUUGGCCCGUCCACUUGCUGACCACCUCUCAGCCCCUCCCAGUAGGGCCUGUCUUUCCCUGGAUCGCCCUCUGGUGGGAUCAGAAUUCAAAUCAAGCCUGGUGCAGGGAUGAUCUCCGAAAAUUUACACACUUUGAGGUCAUCGAGUUCAGACAGACAAGUGACUGACCCAUUGGGGAAUACACAGGUCUGUUUUUUCUUUAAAGACAAAGGCUCCGCAUCCUUCCCGGGUAGCUUCUUCCGCUGUUUUAUUAUCCCGAUGGUCUGGAAGUUAUUUGUGCCCAAUAAAGUGACCAAUCAGUCAA
Molecule: long non-coding RNA, 1244 nt
Organism: Ornithorhynchus anatinus (platypus)
Lineage: Eukaryota; Metazoa; Chordata; Mammalia; Monotremata; Ornithorhynchidae
Exons: 4
Source: RefSeq, a predicted model, not a curated record